This 450-nucleotide ribosomal RNA is filed under the name uncultured organism. RNAcentral's name for it is "partial 16S ribosomal RNA". It matches the Rfam family "Bacterial small subunit ribosomal RNA", at positions 330 to 797 of the family's 1533-position model. The record is from RNAcentral.
CGUACACUCCUGCGGGAGGCAGCAGUGGGGGAUAUUGCACAAUGGGGGAAACCCUGAUGCAGCGACGCCGCGUGGAGGAAGAAGGUUUUCGGAUUGUAAACUCCUGUCGUUAGAGACGAUAAUGACGGUACCUAACAAGAAAGCACCGGCUAACUACGUGCCAGCAGCCGCGGUAAAACGUAGGGUGCAAGCGUUGUCCGGAAUUACUGGGUGUAAAGGGAGCGCAGGCGGACCGGCAAGUUGGAAGUGAAAACUAUGGGCUCAACCCAUAAAUUGCUUUCAAAACUGCUGGCCUUGAGUAGUGCAGAGGUAGGUGGAAUUCCCGGUGUAGCGGUGGAAUGCGUAGAUAUCGGGAGGAACACCAGUGGCGAAGGCGACCUACUGGGCACCAACUGACGCUGAGGCUCGAAAGCAUGGGUAGCAAACAGGAUUAGAUACCCUAGUAGUCCC